This 468-nucleotide ribosomal RNA is filed under the name uncultured bacterium. RNAcentral describes it as "partial 16S ribosomal RNA". It matches the Rfam family "Bacterial small subunit ribosomal RNA", at positions 28 to 507 of the family's 1533-position model. The record is from RNAcentral.
GACGAACGCUGGCGGCGUGCUUAACACAUGCAAGUCGAACGGAAAGGCCCUGCUUUGGUGGGGUGCUCGAGUGGCGAACGGGUGAGUAACACGUGAGUAACCUGCCCUUGACUUUGGGAUAACUUCAGGAAACUGGGGCUAAUACCGGAUAGGAGCUCCUGCUGCAUGGUGGGGGUUGGAAAGUUUCGGCGGUUGGGGAUGGACUCGCGGCUUAUCAGCUUGUUGGUGGGGUAGUGGCUUACCAAGGCUUUGACGGGUAGCCGGCCUGAGAGGGUGACCGGCCACAUUGGGACUGAGAUACGGCCCAGACUCCUACGGGAGGCAGCAGUGGGGAAUAUUGCACAAUGGGCGGAAGCCUGAUGCAGCAACGCCGCGUGCGGGAUGACGGCCUUCGGGUUGUAAACCGCUUUCGCCUGUGACGAAGCGUGAGUGACGGUAAUGGGUAAAGAAGCACCGGCUAACUACGUG